This 253-nucleotide ribosomal RNA is filed under the name uncultured bacterium. Its description in RNAcentral is "partial 16S ribosomal RNA". It matches the Rfam family "Bacterial small subunit ribosomal RNA", at positions 524 to 776 of the family's 1533-position model. The record is from RNAcentral.
UACGAAGGGGGCUAGCGUUGCUCGGAUUGGCUGGGCGUAAAGGGCGCGUAGGCGGUUUGCAUAGUCAGACGUGAAAUUCCUGGGCUUAACCUGGGGGCUGCGUUUGAUACAUGCAGGCUUGAGUUCGGAAGAGGGUCGUGGAAUUCCCAGUGUAGAGGUGAAAUUCGUAGAUAUUGGGAAGAACACCGGUGGCGAAGGCGGCGACCUGGUCCGAUACUGACGCUGAGGCGCGAAAGCGUGGGGAGCAAACAGG